Molecule: long non-coding RNA, 389 nt
Organism: Populus nigra (black poplar)
Lineage: Eukaryota; Viridiplantae; Streptophyta; Magnoliopsida; Malpighiales; Salicaceae
Exons: 2
Source: RefSeq, a predicted model, not a curated record
CGUUAAACGUUGGGUUUUUAGGAAAGAUAACUAGUUAGUUCAAAAAUAUAUAGGGUUAUGGAAUACACCCUUAGAUAAGUGUAUUAAAUAGGUUAUAUAUAUUCUUUUGAGUCAUUCUUAAAUAUGUCUCCUUUAUAUUCAGAUAAUCCUGAUAUUCUACCGGCGGGACGUCAGUAGGAUUUUCUUCGAUAUCAGCUUUGAGUUUUGUUGCUUUUGAGUCAGGCUUAUAGCUUGAUAGCAGGUCAUUUUGUUGGACCUUCAGAACCUGCUCUUUUGGUAGUAAUUUGUACCUUUCCUUUAUGUCUAGUUAGUGCUCCAAAACUCUGAACUUUUAUAAACUUUUGUAUUAAGACAAUUCAAUUAUAUUAUGAAGUUGAUUUUGUUAUUAA